This is a long non-coding RNA of Helianthus annuus (common sunflower), 1019 nucleotides long. RefSeq lists it as uncharacterized. Lineage: Eukaryota; Viridiplantae; Streptophyta; Magnoliopsida; Asterales; Asteraceae. The record is from RefSeq and is a predicted model, not a curated record. The transcript is spliced from 2 exons.
AUCAAUCAAGGCUAUUUCAAUGGGUGUGUUGUUAUCGCUUAAAAGAGGCAUUCCGGUGUAGACUGGCAGGGCAAUCUUGUUUCUGAACUGUAGCUUUAAGCGUUUCACAACGGAAGUACUGCCCUUGUUUUCAGUGUCCCUGUUCAUCACUCACCUGAAAUUCAGCAGAAAACAGGCCAAUCAAUGGAUGCAACAUACAUAUGAAUCAUUCAAAACUUAGCUAUCUGACAUGAUUAUCGCUUAGCAUUCAGACAAUUUACACAUGAGAUGAAGAAUGGAGAGAUGAACACUAUAAACAGAUAGAGAACUUACAAGUUGACAAAUCAAAGGCCUAAAAUGUGGUACAAAAACAGGCCCGAUUAAACGCCGUAAUGUUCGGAUUACCGUCAGCUCCCCUGCUGCCCCCCUACAGUUCAAUCAAACCAUCAUUAUCAUUGUUGUCCAAGGCACAAGGCGCACUCAAGCUACAAAAAGGUGAGGUUUGGGCAUGAGUGCGCCUUGGGCCUCGGGCCCUCGGUAGUGCAAGGCGCUUAAAAAGCGAGGUUUUUUUUAGGCGAGGUGUAAUAAUAGUAUAAAAUUACAAUUUUUAUGAGCUUUAAACAUGUUUUAGGCUUCUUUAGGGCUAGUUUAGGUUGAUUCCAGGCUUGUUAUAAGCCUGUUCAAACCUGUUCAGACGAUUUUUGGAUUGAAUUUUGUCGGAAAUUGGCCCGAAAAAAGCCCCCGAGGGCCCUGAAAAUUGUGCUUUUGAAGUGAAGCAAAAAGGCCACGCUGGACAUGAAAAGCGGGCCUAGGCGUCCACCUGAGUGUAGAGGUGUACAAAACCCGGUUUGGGCCCAAACCAACUGGUCCAGUUUUUUUACCUUGGGCUCAAACCCGUUUAGCCCUAACCGGUUCGGGUUAUAAACCGAUUUAAGGGCUGAAAAACCCAAACCACUCAUAUCGAUUUGGAUCGUAUUCAAACCAGUUUGGAGCAAAAAAAAAACCGGCUUUUUAUAAUUGGGCCUAAAUCAGUUUGGGUU